GCUUCUUCAUACAAACUUAUCCUACCGGGGGAGGACUGCUAACUCUACCACUUGGGCUAGGGGAUUCUAAUUUAAAGGUGGUUGGGAUUCUAUAUCAGGUAUGAAUACCAUUCAAAUCCUCUAUGCCUAAUCUAGACCUAAUCAUGUCGAGAGCGAAAGAAGACGCAACACCAUGCCCUUCACCUGCACAGAUAAGGCCCCC
RNAcentral lists this long non-coding RNA (202 nucleotides) under Elaeis guineensis (African oil palm). RNAcentral describes it as "long non-coding RNA (EGUI_LNC029408)". Lineage: Eukaryota; Viridiplantae; Streptophyta; Magnoliopsida; Arecales; Arecaceae. The record is from RNAcentral.